This is a long non-coding RNA of Polypterus senegalus (gray bichir), 753 nucleotides long. RefSeq lists it as uncharacterized. Lineage: Eukaryota; Metazoa; Chordata; Cladistia; Polypteriformes; Polypteridae. The record is from RefSeq and is a predicted model, not a curated record. The transcript is spliced from 3 exons.
ACAUUUUUGCCCUUUUUCUUUUCAGGCUCACUGUCACUUUGUCAUAGUGAAGCUUUUCUGCUCCAAACUUGCAGAGGUGGAGGACACAGCUGUCCACGCUGCCCUCUAUUCCCUGGCACACCUUUAUGCUCUUCAUGGGGUCUACCAAAACUCUGGUGACUUUCUGCAGGCAGGACUUCUUACUGUCCCACAGCUGACACAAGUAACCCAACAGCUGAAAGAGCUUCUCUAUCAGAUACGCCCCAAUUCUAUAGCACUGGUCGAUGCCUUUGACUACCGUGAUGAGAUGCUCAACUCUGUUCUUGGCCGUUAUGAUGGCAAUGUCUAUGACAACAUGUUUGAGUGGGCACGGAAAUCGCCGCUGAACCAGACUGAGGUCCAUAACUCAUUUUACAAAUACUUGAAGCCAUUGCAGUCGAAACUGUGAAUGGUCAGCAGAACCAGUGACCAAACUCUGAUGCUUAAUGUCUCUUCAUCCUAGAUGCCAUCAGUUUAAACAACUACUUAUAUGCAGUGAGAACUAAAGAUGAACAUUGAUCAGACUAACCUUUUAAGAGAUUGGAGUUCCAUUGAUUGAUAUGAUUUCUUCUUUCCUUUCUUCUUCUUGGCAGAAUAACCAUAUAGUAUUGGUGUAUCUGAUGCCUGUGAUAUUCUCUGCCCUUCAUCUUUAGUUUCUAUCCUUCCAGUUGGAUGGAAUUUUUCAUGGCUCUUAAGUUUUCUUAUCUGUCAAAUGAGCAACUAUUCUAGAACUUC